UCAAACUUGGUCAUUUAGAGGAAGUAAAAGUCGUAACAAGGUUUCCGUAGGUGAACCUGCGGAAGGAUCAUUACUGAAUAGGGUGUGGCUGGAGUUGUUGCUGGCAUCCUUGUAUGCAUGUGCACGCCCCAGUCACUCCGUCAUUCACCCCUCUCCACCUGUGCAUCCUCUUGUAGGCCAGAUUGCCAUUUUUGCGGUGUUCUCCUCUGAGCGCCAUUUUUGGGACUUGCUGUUGCGGCUCCUCUUGUAUGUGGCCCAUCUGGUCUAUGCACCUUUUUACCAAACCCUAUUAUGUUUCGCAUGUAUGUCACAUUGGCUUUUUUUAAAGCAUGAUGUAUGCACAACUUUCAACAACGGAUCUCUUGGCUCUCGCAUCGAUGAAGAACGCAGC
Molecule: unclassified non-coding RNA, 391 nt
Filed under: uncultured fungus
Lineage: Eukaryota; Fungi
Description: partial contains small subunit ribosomal RNA, internal transcribed spacer 1, and 5.8S ribosomal RNA
Rfam family: Eukaryotic small subunit ribosomal RNA (bases 1-73)
Source: RNAcentral